Molecule: ribosomal RNA, 243 nt
Filed under: uncultured bacterium
Lineage: Bacteria
Description: partial 16S ribosomal RNA
Rfam family: Bacterial small subunit ribosomal RNA
Source: RNAcentral
GUCCACGCCGUAAACGAUGUCAACUAGCCGUUGGGAGGGUAAAACCUUUUAGUGGCGCAGCUAACGCGAUAAGUUGACCGCCUGGGGAGUACGCGCGCAAGCGUAAAACUCAAAGGAAUUGACGGGGGCCCGCACAAGCGGUGGAGCAUGUGGUUUAAUUCGAUGCAACGCGAAGAACCUUACCUGGCCUUGACAUCCUGUGAACUUUCUAGAGAUAGAUUGGUGCCUUCGGGAAUACAGUGA